UUCCAGACUCCUACGGGAGGCAGCAGUGAGGAAUAUUGGUCAAUGGCCGUAAGGCUGAACCAGCCAAGUAGCGUGAGGGAAGACUGCCCUAUGGGUUGUAAACCUCUUUUAUGCGGGGAUAAAGGUGUCCACGUGUGGAUGUUUGCAGGUACCGCAUGAAUAAGGACCGGCUAAUUCCGUGCCAGCAGCCGCGGUAAUACGGAAGGUCCGGGCGUUAUCCGGAUUUAUUGGGUUUAAAGGGUGCGCAGGCGGAGGUGCAAGUCAGCGGUCAAAUUGCGGGGCUCAACCCCGUCGAGCCGUUGAAACUGGCAGACUUGAGUUGGCGAGAAGUACGCGGAAUGCGCGGUGUAGCGGUGAAAUGCAUAGAUAUCGCGCAGAACUCCGAUUGCGAAGGCAGCGUACCGGCGCCAGACUGACGCUGAGGCACGAAAGCGUGGGUAUCGAACAGGAUUAGAUACCCUCGUAG
Molecule: ribosomal RNA, 466 nt
Filed under: uncultured bacterium
Lineage: Bacteria
Description: bacterial SSU rRNA
Rfam family: Bacterial small subunit ribosomal RNA
Source: RNAcentral